GUGUCAGCCGCCGCGGUAAUACGGGGGGUGCAAGCGUUGUUCGGAUUUAUUGGGCGUAAAGCGCGUGUAGGCGGUUUGGUAAGUCUGAUGUGAAAGCCCCGGGCUCAACCUGGGAAGUGCAUUGGAUACUGUCAGACUUGAAUACGGGAGAGGGUAGUGGAAUUCCUAGUGUAGGAGUGAAAUCCGUAGAUAUUAGGAGGAACACCGGUGGCGAAGGCGGCUACCUGGACCGAUAUUGACGCUGAGACGCGAAAGCGUGGGGAGCAAACAGGAUUAGAUACCCUUGUAGUCC
RNAcentral lists this ribosomal RNA (292 nucleotides) under uncultured bacterium. RNAcentral's name for it is "partial 16S ribosomal RNA". It matches the Rfam family "Bacterial small subunit ribosomal RNA", at positions 505 to 796 of the family's 1533-position model. The record is from RNAcentral.